UACGUAGGGUGCAAGCGUUAAUCGGAAUUACUGGGCGUAAAGCGUGCGCAGGCGGCUAUGCAAGACAGAUGUGAAAUCCCCGGGCUCAACCUGGGAACUGCAUUUGUGACUGCAUGGCUAGGGUACGGUAGAGGGGGAUGGAAUUCCGCGUGUAGCAGUGAAAUGCGUAGAUAUGCGGAGGAACACCGAUGGCGAAGGCAAUCCCCUGGACCUGUACUGACGCUCAUGCACGAAAGCGUGGGGAGCAAACAGG
Molecule: ribosomal RNA, 253 nt
Filed under: uncultured bacterium
Lineage: Bacteria
Description: partial 16S ribosomal RNA
Rfam family: Bacterial small subunit ribosomal RNA
Source: RNAcentral